This 482-nucleotide ribosomal RNA is filed under the name uncultured bacterium. RNAcentral's name for it is "bacterial SSU rRNA". It matches the Rfam family "Bacterial small subunit ribosomal RNA", at positions 1 to 533 of the family's 1533-position model. The record is from RNAcentral.
UAGAGUUUGAUCCUGGCUCAGAACGAACGCUGGCGGCAGGCUUAACACAUGCAAGUCGAACGCGUGUAGCAAUACACGAGUGGCGCACGGGUGAGUAACACGUGGAUAUCUGCCUUUUGGUUCGGAAUAACCCUGGGAAACUAGGGCUAAUACCGAAUGGUUCCUACGGGAUAAAGAUUUAUCGCCAAAAGAUGAGUCCGCGUCCGAUUAGCUAGUUGGUGAGGUAAUGGCUCACCAAGGCGACGAUCGGUAGCUGGUCUGAGAGGACGAUCAGCCACACUGGGACUGAGACACGGCCCAGACUCCUACGGGAGGCAGCAGUGGGGAAUAUUGGACAAUGGGGGCAACCCUGAUCCAGCCAUGCCGCGUGAGUGAUGAAGGCCUUCGGGUUGUAAAGCUCUUUUGGCGGGGACGAUGAUGACGGUACCCGCAGAAUAAGCCCCGGCUAACUUCGUGCCAGCAGCCGCGGUAGCCCAAUCGCC